CCUACGGGAGGCAGCAGUGGGGAAUCUUCCGCAAUGGGCGAAAGCCUGACGGAGCAACGCCGCGUGAUCGAAUGAAGGCCUCCGGGUUGUAACGAUUUGUUGACAGGGACGAAUAAGCAAUGCGAAUAGUUUUGUGUAUGACGGUACCCGCAAAGGCAGCACCGGCUAACUCAGUGCCAGCAGCCGCGGUAAUACGGAGGGUGCGAGCGUUAAUCGGAAUUACGGGGGGUAAAGCGCUCGUAGGCGGUAUGUCAAGUCAGGGGUGAAAUCCCCGCGCUCAACGUGGGAACUGCCUUUGAAACUGGCAAACUGGAGUGUGUGAGAGGAUGGUGGAAUUCCAGGUGUAGGAGUGAAAUCCGUAGAUAUCUGGAGGAACAUCAGUGGCGAAGGCGACUAUCUGGCACAUAACUGACGCUGAGGAGCGAAAGCGUGGGGAGCAAACAGGAUUAGAUACCCCUGUAGUC
This 464-nucleotide ribosomal RNA is filed under the name uncultured bacterium. RNAcentral describes it as "partial 16S ribosomal RNA". It matches the Rfam family "Bacterial small subunit ribosomal RNA", at positions 338 to 795 of the family's 1533-position model. The record is from RNAcentral.